RNAcentral lists this long non-coding RNA (778 nucleotides) under Coturnix japonica (Japanese quail). RNAcentral describes it as "lncRNA (ENSCJPG00005016566.1)". The record is from RNAcentral. Lineage: Eukaryota; Metazoa; Chordata; Aves; Galliformes; Phasianidae.
CUCUGGCACAUUCCUCGUACUGCCAUAAGAGGAAGCAUCUCAGAAAAUACUUCACUAAAUUUUCACUGGCAGCAAUUUCAAAAAGGGAAUUUCCCCAGACCAGUGCCGUCACAUUUCUCUCAAGAGACUUUGUCGUGGUCUUAUUUUAUCUCUUAUGGAAGUAAAAUUUUGCCAGAAUUACUGUUUGCCUUGUUUUUGGAGUAUCGUUAAGUGGCUCAAUUUAUUGCAUUAUCUUCCCAUUAACACUGUCUAGUAGGGAAGUCAGAAAGCUUGUGACCAGGUUUUCAGUUCAUCAUAUAGUGUUCUUUCCUGAUCUGCUUGUAUUUAAUAAAGGCCCUCAAAAUUUUGUUAAAUGUUAAAUUUGCUACCUGAGGUAUGCAGAAGGAUGGGGGAACUGAAAGUACAGUAGCCUGGGGUAAUGGAAAUCCUCCUGUGCCUGCUUUCUGACCAUAUCACAGGCAGAGUACUUACAUAUGAGCUUAUUAUGGGAAGAAGCUGAAAUUAGACAGCCUUCUGCUACCUGUGGCAGAAAACAGGUUCGAUCUGAGCAGGACCUCUCCAGGCCCCUUCACCCUCGCUUGGGAGAGUUUGUAAGAGAUUUGGAGGGACAUAACAUUUAUUUCCUACUUCCCUGAGCUUCAGUCCAGGCCUUGGAAAAACCCAUCUGACAGUGAGUUUGUUUGUAUAUUUCAAUUUUUUUCCUAAGUACGCUAGGCUCAUUAGCAAGCCUCAGAAAAUGCACGCUUUGUUGAAGUUAAUAUGGGAAAUAAGAUACUGA